This 613-nucleotide ribosomal RNA is filed under the name Methanosarcina sp. enrichment culture clone B02. RNAcentral describes it as "bacterial SSU rRNA". It matches the Rfam family "Archaeal small subunit ribosomal RNA", at positions 60 to 672 of the family's 1478-position model. Lineage: Archaea; Methanobacteriati; Methanobacteriota; Methanomicrobia; Methanosarcinales; Methanosarcinaceae. The record is from RNAcentral.
AUAUGUUCUUCGUGAACAUGGCGUACUGCUCAGUAACACGUGGAUAACCUGCCCUUGGGUCCGGCAUAACCCCGGGAAACUGGGGAUAAUUCCGGAUAACGCACAUAUGCUGGAAUGCUUUAUGCGUCAAAUGGAUUCGUCUGCCCAAGGAUGGGUCUGCGGCCUAUCAGGUAGUAGUGGGUGUAAUGUACCUACUAGCCGACGACGGGUACGGGUUGUGAGAGCAAGAGCCCGGAGAUGGAUUCUGAGACAUGAAUCCAGGCCCUACGGGGCGCAGCAGGCGCGAAAACUUUACAAUGCGGGGAACCGUGAUAAGGGGACACCGAGUGCCAGCAUCAUAUGCUGGCUGUCCGGGUGUGUAAAAUACACCUGUUAGCAAGGGCCGGGCAAGACCGGUGCCAGCCGCCGCGGUAACACCGGCGGCCCGAGUGGUGAUCGUGAUUAUUGGGUCUAAAGGGUCCGUAGCCGGUUUGGUCAGUCCUCCGGGAAAUCUGACGGCUUAACCGUUAGGCUUUCGGAGGAUACUGCCAGGCUUGGAACCGGGAGAGGUAAGAGGUACUACAGGGGUAGGAGUGAAAUCUUGUAAUCCCUGUGGGACCACCUGUGGCGAAGG